CGGUCAUCUUGUCAUAUACCUCCUUAUCUUUCAGAUCCUGGCUCAGUUGAGACUCGCCACACAUUUUCGGCUGGUGAUUGGCUCUGAUACCAAAUGUAACGACCCAGCCCACUAGCAACAAUAACUCGUUGGGCCCAAACACCGGCCCAAAAUACUUAAGUCCAGUUAUUAUUACUAGUGUCUAAGUCUCUUAUAUACCCAAUCACAUCGCCAUUCCUAUCAGAUGUGGGAUUAUUGGGGUGUGACACAGAGUCUCCUCUGUAUUUGCACGGCGUCGCAUAAGUACAUCAUACAACCACAUUGUAUAUAUAUCCACAUACAAUCACCACAUCACAUUCAUUCCAUCACAAGUUUACCGUAUGAUAUUCAUAAUUCUACAUCUAUCAGUUUAAAACGUUUCCCACUCGGAAACUUAUUUUGAAAUACUAAGAUUUAUGAAAAUUGAAACACCCUUUUUAAAACUGUUUCCCACACGGAAAUCUUUUCUUUAAAAAAAAUGCUACCACGAAGGGUAGAAAACUAUUUUUAUAAUCUCAUAAGAAAA
This 544-nucleotide long non-coding RNA is filed under the name Ananas comosus (pineapple). RNAcentral's name for it is "long non-coding RNA (ACOM_LNC040269)". Lineage: Eukaryota; Viridiplantae; Streptophyta; Magnoliopsida; Poales; Bromeliaceae. The record is from RNAcentral.